UUAAUUAAAGCUAAUUAUUUAGCAAUUUAUUGUUAAUAAAUUAUUUAGAUAUUAUUUUAUUCUAACUAAA
RNAcentral lists this transfer RNA (70 nucleotides) under Apis cerana (Asiatic honeybee). Its description in RNAcentral is "tRNA-Asn". Lineage: Eukaryota; Metazoa; Arthropoda; Insecta; Hymenoptera; Apidae. The record is from RNAcentral.